This 6560-nucleotide ribosomal RNA is filed under the name Plenodomus lingam JN3. Its description in RNAcentral is "28S_rRNA". The stretch from base 307 to 3655 matches the Rfam family "Eukaryotic large subunit ribosomal RNA". The record is from RNAcentral. Lineage: Eukaryota; Fungi; Ascomycota; Dothideomycetes; Pleosporales; Leptosphaeriaceae.
ACUUUUAACAACAGAUCUCUUAGUUCUAGCAUUAAUAAAGAACGCAGCGAAAUACAAUAAGUAGUGUAAAUUAUAGAAUUUAGUAAAUUAUUAAAUCUUUAAACGCACAUUGCGCCCCUUAGUAUUCUAUAGGGCAUGCCUGUUUAAGCGUUAUUUAUACCCUUAAGCUCUACUUAGUGUUAGGUAUUUAUUCUACUUAGGACUCGCCUUAAAAUAAUUAGCAGCUAGCAUAUUAGCCUAGAGCGCAGCAUAUUUUGCGCCUCUUAUUAUAGUUGUUAGCAUCUAUUAAGACACUUUUUAAGCUCUUAACCUUAGAUUAGGUAGGGAUACCCGCUAAACUUAAGCAUAUUAAUAAGCAGAGGAAAAGAAACUAAUAGGGAUUGCCCUAGUAACGGCAAGUAAAGCGGCAAUAGCUUAAAUUUAAAAUCUAGCUCUUUUAGGGUCUAAGUUAUAAUUUGCAGAGGGCGCUUUAGCGUUAGCAGUGGUCUAAGUUCCUUAGAAUAGGACGUCACAGAGGGUAAGAAUCCUGUACGUAGUCGCUAGCCUUUACCGUGUAAAGCCCCUUUAACAAGUUAAGUUAUUUAGGAAUAUAGCUCUAAAUAGGAGGUAAAUUUCUUCUAAAGCUAAAUACUAGCUAGAGACUAAUAGCGCACAAGUAGAGUAAUUAAAAGAUAAAAAGUACUUUAGAAAGAGAGUUAAAUAGCACGUAAAAUUGUUAAAAGGGAAGCGCUUGCAGCUAGACUUGCCUGUAGUUACUUAUCUAGGCUUUUGUCUAGUGCACUCUUCUAUAGGCAGGCUAGUAUUAGUUUAGGCAGUUAGAUAAAGGUCUCUGUUACGUACCUCCCUUUAGGGAGGCCUUAUAGGGGAGAUAAUAUGCAACUAGCCUAGACUAAGGUCUACGUAUCUACUAGGAUGCUAGCGUAAUAGCUAUAAGCGGCCUGUCUUAAAAUAUAGACUAAGGAGUCUAAUAUCUAUGUAAGUGUUUAGGUGUUAAGCCUAGACGCGUAAUAAAAGUAAACAGAGGUAGGACCCCUUUUAGGGUGCACUAUUAACUAAUCCUAAUAUCUUUAGAAGGAUUUAAGUAAGAGUAUAGCUAUUAGGACCUAAAAGAUAGUGAACUAUGCUUAAAUAGGGUAAAGCUAGAGGAAACUCUAGUAGAGGCUUAUAGUGGUUCUAACGUGCAAAUUAAUCGUUAAAUUUAGGUAUAGGGGCGAAAGACUAAUUAAACUAUCUAGUAGCUAGUUCCUGCUAAAGUUUCCCUUAGGAUAGCAGUAACGUAUUUAGUUUUAUAAGGUAAAGCAAAUAAUUAGAGGCCUAGGGGUUAAAACAACCUUUACCUAUUCUUAAACUUUAAAUAUAUAAGAAGUCCUUAUUACUUAAUUAAAUAUAGACACUUAAAUAUACUAUUACUAGUAGGCUAUUUUUAGUAAGCAGAACUAGCAAUAUAGGAUAAACUAAACGUAGGGUUAAAGUGCUAGAAUGCACGCUUAUUAGACACCACAAAAGGUGUUAGUUUAUCUAGAUAGCAGGAUAGUAGCUAUAAAAGUUAGAAUCUGCUAAGGAGUGUGUAAUAACUCACCUGCUAAAUAAACUAGCCCUAAAAAUAAAUAGCGCUUAAGCGUGUUACCUAUACCCCGCUGCUAGGGCAAGAUUUAAGCCCUAGCGAGUAGGCAGGCGUAGAGGCUUGUGACAAAGCCUUAGGGGUAACCCUAGGUAGAACAGCCUCUAGUGUAGAUCUUAGUAGUAGUAGCAAAUACUUAAAUAAGAACUUUAAGGACUAAAGUAGGGAAAGGUUCUGUGUAAACAGUAGUUAGACACAGGUUAGUUAAUCCUAAGAGAUAGGGUAAUUCUGUUUUAAUGUUAGCGCUUACGCCACGCCCUUAAAAGGGAAGCUAGUUAAUAUUCUAGCACCUAGAUAUAGAUUCUCUGCGGCAACGCAACUAACAGUAGAGACCUUAGCGGGAGCCCUAAGAAGAGUUCUCUUUUCUUCUUAAUAGUCUGUUACCCUAAAAUUAGUUUAUCUAGAGCUAGGGUUUAAUAGCUAGAAGAGCGCUGUACUUUUACAGUAUUUAGUGCGCUCCUAACAAGCCUUAAAAAUCUACUUAAAGAAAUAGUUUUUACGCUAGGUUAUACUUAUAACUGCAGCAGGUCUCUAAGGUAAAAAGCCUCUAGUUAAUAGAACAAUAUAGAUAAGGGAAGUUAGUAAAAUAGAUCUGUAACUUUAGGAAAAGGAUUAGCUCUAAGGGUUAGGUACGUUAGGCCUUAGGGAGAAGCCUCUAGCGCAGAAGGGCACUAACUGCAAGGUGGGCGCCUCUUAGCGCUAGGGUGUAGACACCCUUAGUAGGUUUUGGCUGUCUAGCGUACGUUUAAUAACUAACUUAGAACUAGUAUAGAUAAGGGGAAUCUAACUAUCUAAUUAAAACAUAGUAUUACAAUAGCUAGAAAGUAGUAUUAAUAUAAUGUGAUUUCUGCCUAGUGCUCUAAAUAUUAAAGCAAAGAGAUUUAACUAAGCGCAGGUAAAUAGCAGGAGUAACUAUAACUCUCUUAAGGUAGCUAAAUGCCUUAUUAUCUAAUUAGUGACGCGCAUAAAUAGAUUAAUAAGAUUCCUACUAUCCCUAUCUACUAUCUAGCGAAACUAUAGCUAAGGGAACAGGCUUAGCUAAAUUAGUGGGGAAAGAAGACCCUAUUAAGCUUAACUCUAGUUUAACAUUAUAAAAAGAUAUAGGGGGUGUAGAAUAGGUAGGAGCUUUAGCGCUAGUAAAAUACUACUACCCUUAUCGUUUUUUUACUUAUUUAAUAAAGUGGAGCUAGGCCUUACUACCUAACUUCUAGCGUUUAAGGUCCUUUAUAGGCUAAUCUAGGUUAAAGAUAUUAUUAGGUAGGGAGUUUAGCUAGGGCGGCACAUCUAUUAAACUAUAACGCAGGUGUCCUAAGGGGGACUUAUAGAGAAUAGAAAUCUCUAGUAGAGUAAAAGGGCAAAAGUCCCCUUAAUUUUAAUUUUUAGUGUGAAUACAAACUAUAAAAGUGUAGCCUAUUAAUCCUUUAGUCCCUUGAAAUUUAAGGCUAGAGGUGCUAGAAAAGUUACUAUAGGGAUAACUGGCUUGUGGCAGCCAAGCGUUUAUAGCGACGUUGCUUUUUAAUCCUUUAAUAUUAGCUCUUCCUAUUAUACUAAAGCAGAAUUUAGUAAGCGUUAGAUUGUUUACCUACUAAUAGGGAACGUAAGCUAGGUUUAGACUAUUAUAAGAUAGGUUAGUUUUACCCUACUAAUAACCUUACCCUAAUAGUAAUACCGCUUAGUACAAGAGGAACUGCAGUUUUAGAUAAUUAGUUUUUGCGGCUAUCUAACUAGGUAUUGCCACAAAGCUACUAUCUACUAGAUUAUAGCUAAACGCCUCUAAGUUAGAAUCUAUGCUAGAACAGGGUAAUUUCUGCCUGCACUAGUUAGAUAUAAAUAGGCCUUUAGCCCAGAACCUUACUAGAUUAGCGUUAGCAGCCCUAUUAAAGUUAGAGUUGUUAGCAAGUGUAUUGCAAUUAUACAGUGCGUAGGAUUAAAUCCUUUAUAGAUAACUUAGUUAUCUAGCUAGGUCGUGUAAGUAGUUAAGUAGCCUUAUUAUUACAAGCUACUAAGCGUAAGCCUGUUGCUAGCUUGGUUAAAAUUAGGAUAUUAUACCCUUCUUAUUUGCAAAACUGCUGCCUAAACGGCUGCUAUUAAUAGAAGGAAGAGGGCUAUAGCUAACAUGUUAUAUAGCAAUUGCAAGAUAGCAAGGGCUAGAGCUAGAAGCAAUCCUUACAAAAUAUACAAAAGAACAGGUUAUGUGUGUACGUACCUUAGGCAGUUAAAUUAUAGCAUAUAAAGAUUAAGAAAGGACAUAAAAUAAUCUAUAUAUAUUUUUAGGUAGUGUUCUAUAACUUAGGGCGUUCUAUAACCCUUUAUUUUUUAGGGGUAGUGUUCUAUAACUUAGGGCGUUCUAUAACUUUUUAUUUUUAGGGGUAGUGUUCUAUAACUUAGGGCGUUCUAUAACCUUUUAUUUUUUAGGGGUAGUGUUCUAUAACUUAGGGCAUUCUAUAACUUUUUAUUUUUAGGGGUAGUGUUCUAUAACUUAGGGCGUUCUAUAACCUUUUAUUUUUUAGGGGUAGUGUUCUAUAACUUAGGGCGUUCUAUAACUUUUUAUUUUUAGGGGUAGUGUUCUAUAACUUAGGGCGUUCUAUACUUAAAAAAUCUUAUAGGCUAUUCUAUAACUAUAGAUUAUUCUAAACCUUUAGGGCAUUCUAUUAAUGUUUUAAAAAAUCUAGUAGGCUAUUUUAUAAGCUUAUAGCGUUCUAUAACUUUAGGGCGUUCUAUAACUUAGGGCGUUCUAUAACUUAGGGCGUUCUAUAACUUUUUACUUCUUAGGGGUAGUGUUCUAUAACUUAGGGCGUUCUAUACUUAAAAAAUCUUAUAGGCUAUUCUAUAACUAUAGAUUAUUCUAAACCUUUAGGGCAUUCUAUUAAUGUUUUAAAAAAUCUAGUAGGCUAUUUUAUAAGCUUAUAGCGUUCUAUAACUUUAGGGCGUUCUAUAACUUAGGGCGUUCUAUAACUUAGGGCGUUCUAUAACUUUUUACUUCUUAGGGGUAGUGUUCUAUAACUUAGGGCGUUCUAUACUUAAAAAAUCUUAUAGGCUAUUCUAUAACUAUAGAUUAUUCUAAACCUUUAGGGCAUUCUAUUAAUGUUUUAAAAAAUCUAGUAGGCUAUUUUAUAAGCUUAUAGCGUUCUAUAACUUUAGGGCGUUCUAUAACUUAGGGCGUUCUAUAACUUAGGGCGUUCUAUAACUUUUUAUUUUUAGGGGUAGUGUUCUAUAACUUAGGGCGUUCUAUAACCUUUUAUUUUUUAGGGGUAGUGUUCUAUAACUUAGGGCGUUCUAUAACUUUUUAUUUUUAGGGGUAGUGUUCUAUAACUUAGGGCGUUCUAUACCUUUUGUUUAUUCUAUUACUUUAGUGCUUUCUAUAACUUUAGACUAUUCUAUAAUAGUAGCUAUUAUAUCCUUUUUAUAAUCCUUAUAGUAUUAUACUAUUAUCUAUUAUUCUUUACUCUUAAGUAUAUCCUUAUAUUUUAUAAAUCUUUUUCUUUACUAGCUAGUCCUACUAUACUUUUUUAUAACCUACUAGUAUUAAAUAAUACCUUUAUAUUCUUCCUCUAUACUAUCUCUAUUUCUUGCCUUAUAUAUUAAGUAGAUAUAGAUAGAGCUAAUAGAUCUAUAGUUAAUAUAGAUAAAGUAGUUAUAGUAGAGUAUAGAUAUUAGAGUAGAGAUCCUUAUCUAUAUAUUUACCUACUACUAAUAGAAUUCUAAGUUACUCUUAUCUAGCGAAUACGGGUUUAUAGUUUUUAUAGGGCUGCGCAUAUCUACACAGUUUUAUAUAUAAAAAAGUGUACCUAUAAGCUAUUUUCUGCUACACUAACCCCGCGACGCAAAAAUUAAACUAAAACCUGUUCCUAUAAUAUAUAAGGAGGGCAAAUAGAUUCUUAAAUACUAAAUGCCUAACUAACUAACUAAGGUUAAAUCUGCUGCGCGCAGUUCUUAGAUUAGGCAGUUAAACUAGCGUUAUUAGGCACUAAGGGGGCAAUUUUUGCUUGUGUCCGCGUCUAUACUCCCUAUAACUCCCUAUUGUUAGCGCUCUACGCCUAUUUUAGUGGUAGUUAGACUAAAUUUAAAAGUUUUAGUUUUAUAAUAGCUAGCCUUGUUUCCUAGAUUUCUGCCUAGUUUAGAUUUACUCUAAUUAGUAGGUAAUUAGGGGCUUAGAGAUUGCUCUUCUACUUAACUAGGCAGGCCUAGGCCUAUAUACUAAAGCAACCCUACUAUUACGCCUAGUUUUAUAGUUAGCACCUAAAGUCCUACUAUUAAAGUUUUAGUAGUAGGCAAAAUUUAGGGUCUAUAGAUAGCUAGCACUGCUAAACUAUUUAAUAGAUCUUAGGGGACAGCCCUACCUAGCAUCCGCUCCUAGUAAGCGUAGCAAAGCGUAGGUUUUCUCUACUUAAGGUAUGUAUAUGGCGAGUUUAAACAUAUAGAAACGCCUAUUAGGCUUUGUUGUAGACUAUUCCUUAAGAAACUUAGUAGGGGCAAUUAAAUUAGUUGCUAGUUGUAACUAGUGCCUUGUGUGCUAUUAUGCUAGUAGCUAGAAUCACUUCUGCGAUUUCUUAUCACGUACUUUCUGCCUCCUUUUAGGGGUAGUGCUUAUGCGCUUUAGCGUAUUAGGUAUUAGGAUUGUUACCUAGUUAAUUCUGCUAGUAGUUAUAUGCUUAUCUUAAAGAUUAAGCUAUGCAUGUCUAAGUAUAAGCAAUUAUACUAUAAAACUACGAAUAGCUUAUUAAAUUAGUUAUUAUUUAUUUAAUAGUACCUUACUACUUAGAUAACUAUAGUAAUUCUAGAGCUAAUACAUGCUAAAAACCCUAACUUUAGAAGGGGUGUAUUUAUUAGAUAAAAAACUAACGCCCUUUAGGGCUUCUUAGUAAUUUAUAAUAACUUUACAGAUCGCAUAGCCUUGCGCUAGCGAUAGUUUAUUUAAAUUUCUGCCCUAUUAACUUUU